GGCUCCCCAGCGCUGCCUCUCU
Molecule: microRNA, 22 nt
Filed under: Eptesicus fuscus (big brown bat)
Lineage: Eukaryota; Metazoa; Chordata; Mammalia; Chiroptera; Vespertilionidae
Description: efu-miR-9290
Source: miRBase by way of RNAcentral